GUGUUUCCUAGGGGUCCCUAUGAUAGUUGGCUACAUUGCAUGUUUUCUCUUAGCUACUUCAUGUAGCUAACAUAUUCUUGUUUUGCAUAAUCCUCUUUGUUUUAGAAGAUACUGUCGGACAAACAACAUAAUGAUUUAGGUCUACACCAUCACUGGUAUUAUCAGGCUGUGUUAGCUAGCUAUGUUUGCUCUUACUCAGUACGUUUAUUAGCUGUCUAUUAGUGGUUAACAAUUAGCGUCUCACAAGAUUUAGGGCAACUCGCUAAGAAAAGACAAACUAGCUUUUUGCUGAUGUAAGAAACACAAACUAAUAGUAUAAUUUAUAGAACGCUAGUUGAUUUAUAUUAAGAAGCAAAGUGAAAACAGCAUUGUUGUCGUCAACAUUGUUGCAUGUGGUGCAUUGACCAUGCAGACUGAACGCAAAUGUCUAGCGGUUGAGGAACAUCAAAUGCGCUCCUUGAGUAACAGGGGGCGUGGCUAGGUCUGUGUGGAAAGUGGCACGGCGAGAAUGUGGAGAGAGAUGACUCAAGUAGUGAAGUAAACCAUAAUUGACAGUACCCAUGGCUUAUAACAUUUAACAAACCAAACAUUCAAAUACCGGUAUAGAAGGUCAAGUAAAAACCCAAACCUGUCCCUGCAUCAAUACCGGUAUAUUAUAAAAUACGUAUACCUCACAGCCCAAAUUCAUUUCUAUUACUGUUACUGUUAGAUAACUGGAAGGAUUUAUGUGCAACCAUUUAACAACAUUGAGGUAUCUAGCUAUAAGUAAACUCUGAUCAAUCAAAUUAAUCCAUGUAAAUAAUUAUUAUAGCUGGGGUCAUCAUCCGUUAAGGUAAAUAUAAAACAUCUCAGAUAAUAACUAUUUGAAUUUGCACAUAAAAUAACCUAACACUGACAUUUUUCUCUUUAUGUCUUCAUAAAGGUUAGCUCGGUGGAAGCCAACAAUCUUCUCCAGUUGGAGCAGUUGGACGGUUGACCACUGAAAGCCCUGACGCCCUACACUUCGGUGAAGCCUGUGAGACAAAGACCGUCAACUGUCCAAACCACCCAGGAGGUAUCCCAUCCACCAGAGCCAGGAUCAGUCUGAUUCUUUGUGCUCUUGAGUCGGAAGGGGACCAGUUUGAGGUAGGAUAUACAGUACUUAAAAAACUAUUGAAAAGUACAUAUCUCGCCUUCAUAACACUGCACUAAUCCAUCAAAAGUUCUCAAAGGUGGCUUGCGUCAGACUGGAGGAACAGGGUCAGGUAAGGCCAGUCACUGGACUAGAAGACACUAGUGAGGUUCUCAUCACUAGUGUCCAACAGCGGCAGGUAAGGCCAGCUGCUCUCUGUGGCCGGAUGGAGGACCUUUGCGAGGUCAUUCUUCCGUCACACACCUGGUUAGACAAUUUUACAAUUGAUCAUGCUCAAGCUCAAGUACUUUUGCAGGUGCAGCAUCCAGAAGUAGGAGGCCUCCUCGCGGUGGGCGGCAUCGCCAUGCUGUCAACAGUACCAACACUGGCCCAGGGGUUUAUCCAGAUAGUCAGUCUCAAGGCUAACCACUGGUUCACGGGACCUCUUUGACUGUGGAGUGGGCAGCAGUCCAGAAGUAGAAAGGGGGCACAGAUUGUGGGCUGUUUGCUAUUGCUCCCUGCAGAGAUGAGGAACCCUCCAUGGCACGAUACGAUCAGAAAUCCAUGAGAAAACAUAUUUCCUCUUGUUUUCAGGCUGGUUACCUGGCGCCAUUACCCAGUCCCAAUUCCAUCCCGAUUCCAGCCCCCCCCUGGGUCCAGGCCUCUCAAGGUGUCCACACCCUACACAACAGAGGUCAGCAUCCACUGCUUCUGUCGGAAAUAUGUGAGAGAAGAUAAGGAGGUGGCCCGGGGCUGGAGAUGUUGCAAGCAUUUUCAUGCAUCGGUUUGUCUCAUGUCGUCAAUGUGCGUGAAUUUGUCUGUCCAUAGUCCGUCAUCUGUUUUGUCUGAUGAUUUCCUAACCCGUUUUCACUGCUUGCCCGGCUCCUCACCUCAAGACGGUAGGUAUUUUACCACAUUGCAUCUUGUUGUAUAUUGUAUGUUAUUGUAAAUAACCUUAAUAACCUGUUGAGGGUUGAGUCAUCACCAUAUUGCUACACCUAUCCAAGCCCCAUCAGGUCAAACACUACAAAGAUAGAGUAGGGGGUUGAGGGCCUUCAUUAAAGGUUGAGGGCGUCUUCAUCCUUUAACUCUUUCUCUCCUCUCUCUCCAGACGAAAUUCUUCGUCUAGUGACUUCUGAUUGCCCAACAAUCUGCCCACUCAUCCCAUCCCCUCCUCUGUGUCAUUAUAUCAUUUAAAGCUACUGUUAUUGUCAUGAUGUCAUUAUCUGCUAAUAAAGUUUGCU
This is a long non-coding RNA of Oncorhynchus tshawytscha (Chinook salmon), 2355 nucleotides long. The record is from Ensembl. NCBI's taxonomy places the organism in Eukaryota, Metazoa, Chordata, Actinopteri, Salmoniformes, Salmonidae.